GGCGACGAUCGGUAGCCGGCCUGAGAGGGUGAUCGGCCACAUUGGGACUGAGAUACGGCCCAGACUCCUACGGGAGGCAGCAGUAGGGAAUAUUGCACAAUGGGGGAAACCCUGAUGCAGCAACGCCACGUGUGGGAAGAAGCAUUUCGGUGUGUAAACCACUGUCAUGAGGGAAUAAGGCCCGUCUUCGGACGGGAUUGAAUGUACCUUGAAAGGAAGCACCGGCAA
RNAcentral lists this ribosomal RNA (228 nucleotides) under uncultured Fibrobacter sp. Its description in RNAcentral is "partial 16S ribosomal RNA". It matches the Rfam family "Bacterial small subunit ribosomal RNA", at positions 272 to 499 of the family's 1533-position model. The record is from RNAcentral. Lineage: Bacteria; Pseudomonadati; Fibrobacterota; Fibrobacteria; Fibrobacterales; Fibrobacteraceae.